CAAAAACAUAGCUUUAUGAAAAUUUAUAUAAAGUUUUACCUGCUCAAUGAUAAUUUAAAUGGCCGCAGUACUUUGACUGUGCUAAGGUAGCAUAAUAAAUUGACUUUUAAUUUAGGUCUAGAAUGAAAGGAUAUAUGAAUAUUUACUGUCUUUAAAAAAUUAAUAUUAACUUUCUUAAAAGGUGAAAAUUCCUUUAAGUAAAUUUAAAAGACGAGAAGACCCUAGGAGUUUAAAAUAAAUAAUUAUUUUUGUUGGGGCAACAUUAUAGUAAUUAAACCUAUAAUUUAAUAUGAAUUAUAAAACUAUAUUUUUAAUUGUAAAUAAGCUACCCUAGGGAUAACAGCAUAAUUUAUAUUAUUGAUAAGUUUGUGACCUCGAUGUUGGAUUAGGGACUGUUAGUAAUAAGUUUACCUAUUGACUUGUUCUGUUCGAACAUUUUAUACCUACGUGAUCUGNNNNAUAGUGGGG
Molecule: ribosomal RNA, 468 nt
Filed under: Everettia jucunda
Lineage: Eukaryota; Metazoa; Mollusca; Gastropoda; Stylommatophora; Ariophantidae
Description: partial large subunit ribosomal RNA
Rfam family: Archaeal large subunit ribosomal RNA
Source: RNAcentral